Molecule: ribosomal RNA, 253 nt
Filed under: uncultured bacterium
Lineage: Bacteria
Description: partial 16S ribosomal RNA
Rfam family: Bacterial small subunit ribosomal RNA
Source: RNAcentral
GACGAACCGUGCAAACGUUGUUCGGAAUCACUGGGCUUAAAGGGCGCGUAGGCGGGCCAGCCAGUCUGUGGUGAAAGCCUCCAGCUUAACUGGAGAAGUGCCGUGGAUACUGCUGGCCUCGAGGAGGGUAGGGGCAUCUGGAGCGGUCGGUGGAGCGGUGAAAUGCGUUGAUAUCGACCGGAACUCCGGUGGCGAAGGCGGCUCUCUGGGACGGUACUGACGCUGAGACGCGAAAGCGUGGGGAGCGAACAGG